UACCAUGCAGUCGAACGGUGAAGCCAAGCUUGCUUGGUGGAUCAGUGGCGAACGGGUGAGUAACACGUGAGCAACCUGCCCUGGACUCUGGGAUAAGCGCUGGAAACGGCGUCUAAUACUGGAUAUGAGACGUGAUCGCAUGGUCGUGUUUGGAAAGAUUUUUCGGUCUGGGAUGGGCUCGCGGCCUAUCAGCUUGUUGGUGAGGUAAUGGCUCACCAAGGCGUCGACGGGNNNNNUUAGCCGGCCUNGAGAAGGGGUGACNNCGGCCACACUGGGACUGAGACACGGCCCAGACUCCUACGGGAGGCAGCAGUGGGGAAUAUUGCACAAUGGGCGGAAAGCCUGAUGCAGCAACGCCGCGUGAGGGGAUGACGGCCUUCGGGGUGUAAACCUCUUUUAGCAGGGAAGAAGCGAAAGUGACGGUACCUGCAGAAAAAGCGCCGGGCUAACUACGUGCCAGCAGCCGCGGUAAUACGUAGGGCGCAAGCGUUAUCCGGGAAUUAUUGGGCGUAAAGAGCUCGUAGGCGGUUUGUCGCGUCUGCUGUGAAAUCCCGAGGCUCAACCUCGGGCCUGCAGUGGGUACGGGCAGACUAGAGUGCGGUAGGGGAGAUUGGAAUUCCUGGUGUAGCGGUGGAAUGCGCAGAUAUCAGGAGGAACACCGAUGGCGAAGGCAGAUCUCUGGGCCGUAACUGACGCUGAGGAGCGAAAGGGUGGGGAGCAAACAGGCUUAGAUACCCUGGUAGUCCACCCCGUAAACGUUGGGAACUAGUUGUGGGGACCAUUCCACGGUUUCCGUGACGCAGCUAACGCAUUAAGUUCCCCGCCUGGGGAGUACGGCCGCAAGGCUAAAACUCAAAGGAAUUGACGGGGACCCGCACAAGCGGCGGAGCAUGCGGAUUAAUUCGAUGCAACGCGAAGAACCUUACCAAGGCUUGACAUAUACGAGAACGGGCCAGAAAUGGUCAACUCUUUGGACACUCGUAAACAGGUGGUGCAUGGUUGUCGUCAGCUCGUGUCGUGAGAUGUUGGGUUAAGUCCCNGCAACGAGCGCAACCCUUCGUUCUAUNGUUGCCAGCACGUUAAUGGUGGGAACUCAUGGGAUACUGCCGGGGUCAACUCGGAGGAAGGUGGGGAUGACGUCAAAUCAUCAUGCCCCUUAUGUUCNUUGGGCUUCACGCAUGCUACAAUGGCCGGUACNAAAGGGCUNGACAAUACNNCGUGAGGUGUGAGCGAAUCCCAAAAAGCCGGUCCCAGUUCGGAUUGAGGUCUGCAACUCGACCUCAUGAAGUCGGAGUCGCUAGUAAUCGCAGAUCAGCAACGCUGCGGUGAAUACGUUCCCGGGUCUUGUACACACCGCCCGUCAAGUCAUGAAAGUCGGUAACACCUGAAGCCGGUGGCCCAACCCUUGUGGAGGGAGCCGUCGAAUNNGAUC
RNAcentral lists this ribosomal RNA (1432 nucleotides) under Microbacterium testaceum. RNAcentral describes it as "bacterial SSU rRNA". It matches the Rfam family "Bacterial small subunit ribosomal RNA". The record is from RNAcentral. Lineage: Bacteria; Bacillati; Actinomycetota; Actinomycetes; Micrococcales; Microbacteriaceae.